AGUCGACGGCAGCCGGACUUCGGUCUGGUGGCGAGUGGCGAACGGGUGAUUAACAUAUCGGAACGUAUCCAAUAAUGGGGGAUAACUAAUCGAAAGGUUGGCUAAUACCGCAUACGCCCUACGGGGGAAAGCAGGGGACCUUCGGACCUUGCGUUAAUGGAGCGGCCGAUAUCUGAUUAGCUAGUUGGUGAGGUAAAGGCUCACCAAGGCGACGAUCAGUAGCUGGUCUGAGAGGACGACCAGCCACACUGGAACUGAGACACGGUCCAGACUCCUACGGGAGGCAGCAGUGGGGAAUUUUGGACAAUGGGCGCAAGCCUGAUCCAGCCAUUCCGCGUGAGUGAAGAAGGCCUUCGGGUUGUAAAGCUCUUUCGCAAGGGAAGAAAACUUACUUUCUAAUAAAGAGUGAGGUUGACGGUACCUUGAUAAGAAGCACCGGCUAACUACGUGCCAGCAGCCGCGGUAAUACGUAGGGUGCGAGCGUUAAUCGGAAUUACUGGGCGUAAAGCGUGCGCAGGCUGUUCUGUAAGUCAGAUGUGAAAUCCCCGAGCUCAACUUGGGAACUGCGUUUGAAACUACAGGACUAGAAUAUGUCAGAGGGGGGUAGAAUUCCACGUGUAGCAGUGAAAUGCGUAGAGAUGUGGAGGAAUACCAAUGGCG
This 660-nucleotide ribosomal RNA is filed under the name uncultured bacterium. RNAcentral's name for it is "bacterial SSU rRNA". It matches the Rfam family "Bacterial small subunit ribosomal RNA", at positions 60 to 717 of the family's 1533-position model. The record is from RNAcentral.